UUCGGGGCUCGAAUUGUAAUUUGUAGAGAGUGCUUCGGGCGAGACCUCGGUCUAAGUCCAUUGGAACAUGGUGUCAUAGAGGGUGAGAAUCCCGUAUGCGACCGUGGCUCGAGCCCAUGUGAAGCCUCUUCGACGAGUCGAGUUGUUUGGGAAUGCAGCUCAAAAUGGGUGGUAAAUUUCAUCUAAAGCUAAAUACUGGCUGGAGACCGAUAGCGCACAAGUAGAGUGAUCGAAAGAUGAAAAGCACUUUGGAAAGAGAGUCAAACAGUACGUGAAAUUGUUGAAAGGGAAGCGCUUGCAACCAGACCUGCCCGUAGGCGAUCAGCCGCUGUUCUCAGCGGUGUACUCGCUCUGCGAUCAGGCCAGCAUCGGUUUCGGCGGUCGGAUAAAGGCCUUGGGAAUGUAGCUUCCCUUCGGGGGAGUCUUAUAGCCCUCGGUGCAAUGCGGCCAGCCGGGACCGAGGACCGCGCUCCGGCUAGGAUGCUGGCGUAAUGGUUGUAAGCGACCCGUCUUGAAACACGGACCAAGGAGUCUAACAUCUAUGCGAGUGUUUGGGUGUCAAACCCAUACGCGGAAUGAAAGUGAACGGAGGUGAGAACCCUCAAGGGCGCAUCAUCGACCGAUCCAGAUGUCUUCGGAUGGAUUUGAGUAUGAGCAUAGCUGUUGGGACCCGAAAGAUGGUGAACUAUGCCUGAAUAGGGUGAAGCCAGAGGAAACUCUGGUGGAGGCUCGCAGCGGUUCUGACGUGCAAAUCGAUCGUCAAAUUUGGGUAUAGGGGCGAAAGACUAAUC
This 791-nucleotide ribosomal RNA is filed under the name Xanthoparmelia pedregalensis. Its description in RNAcentral is "eukaryotic LSU rRNA". It matches the Rfam family "Eukaryotic large subunit ribosomal RNA", at positions 130 to 936 of the family's 3401-position model. The record is from RNAcentral. Lineage: Eukaryota; Fungi; Ascomycota; Lecanoromycetes; Lecanorales; Parmeliaceae.